UACGUAGGCGGAAAAUUAAGUCAGUAGUGAAAUCCUGCAGCUUAACUGUAGAACUGUUAUUGAUACUGGUUUUCUUGAAUAUAGUUGAGGUAGGCGGAAUGUGUAAUGUAGCGGUGAAAUGCUUAGAUAUUACACAGAACACCGAUUGCGAAGGCAGCUUACUAAGCUAACAUUGACGCUGAGGCACGAAAGCGUGGGGAGCGAACAGGAUUAGAUACCCUGGUAGUCC
Molecule: ribosomal RNA, 229 nt
Filed under: uncultured bacterium
Lineage: Bacteria
Description: partial 16S ribosomal RNA
Rfam family: Bacterial small subunit ribosomal RNA
Source: RNAcentral